Molecule: ribosomal RNA, 767 nt
Filed under: Klebsiella pneumoniae
Lineage: Bacteria; Pseudomonadati; Pseudomonadota; Gammaproteobacteria; Enterobacterales; Enterobacteriaceae
Description: bacterial SSU rRNA
Rfam family: Bacterial small subunit ribosomal RNA
Source: RNAcentral
GCGAAAGCGUGGGGAGCAAACAGGAUUAGAUACCCUGGUAGUCCACGCCGUAAACGAUGUCGAUUUGGAGGUUGUGCCCUUGAGGCGUGGCUUCCGGAGCUAACGCGUUAAAUCGACCGCCUGGGGAGUACGGCCGCAAGGUUAAAACUCAAAUGAAUUGACGGGGGCCCGCACAAGCGGUGGAGCAUGUGGUUUAAUUCGAUGCAACGCGAAGAACCUUACCUGGUCUUGACAUCCACAGAACUUUCCAGAGAUGGAUUGGUGCCUUCGGGAACUGUGAGACAGGUGCUGCAUGGCUGUCGUCAGCUCGUGUUGUGAAAUGUUGGGUUAAGUCCCGCAACGAGCGCAACCCUUAUCCUUUGUUGCCAGCGGUCCGGCCGGGAACUCAAAGGAGACUGCCAGUGAUAAACUGGAGGAAGGUGGGGAUGACGUCAAGUCAUCAUGGCCCUUACGACCAGGGCUACACACGUGCUACAAUGGCAUAUACAAAGAGAAGCGACCUCGCGAGAGCAAGCGGACCUCAUAAAGUAUGUCGUAGUCCGGAUUGGAGUCUGCAACUCGACUCCAUGAAGUCGGAAUCGCUAGUAAUCGUAGAUCAGAAUGCUACGGUGAAUACGUUCCCGGGCCUUGUACACACCGCCCGUCACACCAUGGGAGUGGGUUGCAAAAGAAGUAGGUAGCUUAACCUUCGGGAGGGCGCUUACCACUUUGUGAUUCAUGACUGGGGUGAAGUCGUAACAAGGUAACCGUAGGGGAACCUGCGGUUG